GCAAGUCGAGGGGCAGCGGGGGAGUAGCAAUACUCCCGCCGGCGACCGGCGCACGGGUGAGUAACACGUAUGCAACCUGCCCCUGUCAGGGGGACAACCCGCCGAAAGGCGGGCUAAACCCGCGUACAUGCCACCGGGGCAUCCCGGAGGCAGGAAAGGCUUCGGCCGGACAGGGAUGGGCAUGCGGCGCAUUAGGCAGUAGGCGGGGUAACGGCCCACCGAGGCGACGAUGCGUAGGGGUUCUGAGAGGAAGGUC
This 256-nucleotide ribosomal RNA is filed under the name uncultured bacterium. RNAcentral's name for it is "partial 16S ribosomal RNA". It matches the Rfam family "Bacterial small subunit ribosomal RNA", at positions 57 to 305 of the family's 1533-position model. The record is from RNAcentral.